ACGGGAGGCAGCAGUGGGGAAUAUUGGACAAUGGGGGAGACCCUGAUCCAGCGACGCCGCGUGAGUGAAGAAGUAUUUCGGUAUGUAAAGCUCUAUCAGCAGGGAAGAUAAUGACGGUACCUGACUAAGAAGCCCCGGCUAACUACGUGCCAGCAGCCGCGGUAAUCCGUAGGGGGCAAGCGUUAUCCGGAUUUGCUGGGUGUAAAGGGAGCGUCGACGGCAUGGCAAGUCUGAUGUGAAAACCCGGGGCUCAACCCCGGGACUGCAUUGGAAACUGUCAGGCUUGAGUGCAGGAGAGGUAAGUGGAAUUCCUAGUGUAGCGGUGAAAUGCGUAGAUAUUAGGAGGAACACCAGUGGCGAAGGCGGCUUACUGGACUGUAACUGACGUUGAGGCUCGAAAGCGUGGGGAGCAAACAGGAUUAGAUACCCUGGUA
This 434-nucleotide ribosomal RNA is filed under the name uncultured Lachnospiraceae bacterium. Its description in RNAcentral is "partial 16S ribosomal RNA". It matches the Rfam family "Bacterial small subunit ribosomal RNA", at positions 341 to 792 of the family's 1533-position model. The record is from RNAcentral. Lineage: Bacteria; Bacillati; Bacillota; Clostridia; Lachnospirales; Lachnospiraceae.